RNAcentral lists this ribosomal RNA (490 nucleotides) under uncultured bacterium. Its description in RNAcentral is "partial 16S ribosomal RNA". It matches the Rfam family "Bacterial small subunit ribosomal RNA", at positions 30 to 507 of the family's 1533-position model. The record is from RNAcentral.
AUUGAACGCUGGCGGCAGGCCUAACACAUGCAAGUCGAACGGUAACAGGAAACAGCUUGCUGUUUCGCUGACGAGUGGCGGACGGGUGAGUAAUGUCUGGGAAACUGCCUGAUGGAGGGGGAUAACUACUGGAAACGGUAGCUAAUACCGCAUAACGUCGCAAGACCAAAGAGGGGGACCUUCGGGCCUCUUGCCAUCGGAUGUGCCCAGAUGGGAUUAGCUAGUAGGUGGGGUAACGGCUCACCUAGGCGACGAUCCCUAGCUGGUCUGAGAGGAUGACCAGCCACACUGGAACUGAGACAUGGUCCAGACUCCUACGGGAGGCAGCAGUGGGGAAUAUUGCACAAUGGGCGCAAGCCUGAUGCAGCCAUGCCGCGUGUAUGAAGAAGGCCUUCGGGUUGUAAAGUACUUUCAGCGGGGAGGAAGGGAGUAAAGUUAAUACCUUUGCUCAUUGACGUUACCCGCAGAAGAAGCACCGGCUAACUCCGUG